RNAcentral lists this ribosomal RNA (497 nucleotides) under uncultured bacterium. RNAcentral describes it as "partial 16S ribosomal RNA". It matches the Rfam family "Bacterial small subunit ribosomal RNA", at positions 28 to 507 of the family's 1533-position model. The record is from RNAcentral.
GAUGAACGCUGGCGGCGUGCCUAAUACAUGCAAGUCGAGCGAACAGACGAGGAGCUUGCUCCUCUGACGUUAGCGGCGGACGGGUGAGUAACACGUGGAUAACCUACCUAUAAGACUGGGAUAACUUCGGGAAACCGGAGCUAAUACCGGAUAAUAUAUUGAACCGCAUGGUUCAAUAGUGAAAGACGGUUUUGCUGUCACUUAUAGAUGGAUCCGCGCCGCAUUAGCUAGUUGGUAAGGUAACGGCUUACCAAGGCAACGAUGCGUAGCCGGCCUGAGAGGGUGAUCGGCCACACUGGAACUGAGACACGGUCCAGACUCCUACGGGAGGCAGCAGUAGGGAAUCUUCCGCAAUGGGCGAAAGCCUGACGGAGCAACGCCGCGUGAGUGAUGAAGGUCUUCGGAUCGUAAAACUCUGUUAUUAGGGAAGAACAAAUGUGUAAGUAACUAUGCACGUCUUGACGGUACCUAAUCAGAAAGCCACGGCUAACUACGUG